Molecule: long non-coding RNA, 238 nt
Filed under: Actinidia chinensis (golden kiwifruit)
Lineage: Eukaryota; Viridiplantae; Streptophyta; Magnoliopsida; Ericales; Actinidiaceae
Description: long non-coding RNA (ACHI_LNC002424)
Source: RNAcentral
CCCCCAGGGCGUAGCUCAGUUGGUUCGCAGGUGGUAGAUUGCAUCCAAGUGUGCAGGUUCGAGUCAUGGCAGCCGCAGUGUGGGAAAGUCACUCAUGAAAUAUUGGGUGGGCUCCUUGUGGGCACUAUGCACUGUACCUCCCAUCUGUUGGGCCGCUGGGUACCUGAUUUACCUGUCAUGCCAUACCCUUGGGGCUGGGCGGCAUGGCCCGGCUAAGGUGUCCGGCCCAACACCUUUU